AAGUUCCUGAAGCCAAAAAGCCAGUGGAGGAGAAGAUAACUGCAAACGUUGUCCCAGAGAAACACCCCUCUCCAAAAGAAGAACAUGAAGAAGCAAAGAAGCCUGCCCAUAAGCCAGCUGAGAAACCUGAACAGGUUCCACUAAAGAAAGAUGUGCCUCAAGCUGCACCCCAUGUUGCUGAACCAAAACCAGAGCCUGAAGUUUCACCUGCGACUAAGGUUGAACCUGAACCGAAGCGUGCGCCUAUAAGGAAACCAGAGAGUCCACCAA
Molecule: non-coding RNA, 270 nt
Organism: Salvelinus sp. IW2-2015
Lineage: Eukaryota; Metazoa; Chordata; Actinopteri; Salmoniformes; Salmonidae
Source: RefSeq, a predicted model, not a curated record